UUAACUUAAAUUUGAAUAGAGUUGGAACAUUUGGCUACGUUUGCCGCUAGGGGCGCUGUUCCAACUGCAUACAAAGUUGAGUUA
Non-coding RNA from Bombyx mori (domestic silkworm), 84 nucleotides. The record is from Rfam. NCBI's taxonomy places the organism in Eukaryota, Metazoa, Arthropoda, Insecta, Lepidoptera, Bombycidae.